RNAcentral lists this transfer RNA (81 nucleotides) under Neurospora africana FGSC 1740. RNAcentral describes it as "tRNA-Ser (TGA) (tRNA-Ser-TGA-2-1)". It matches the Rfam family "tRNA". Rfam says of the family: Transfer RNA (tRNA) molecules are approximately 80 nucleotides in length. Their secondary structure includes four short double-helical elements and three loops (D, anti-codon, and T loops). Further hydrogen bonds mediate the characteristic L-shaped molecular structure. tRNAs have two regions of fundamental functional importance: the anti-codon, which is responsible for specific mRNA codon recognition, and the 3' end, to which the tRNAs corresponding amino acid is attached (by aminoacyl-tRNA synthetases). tRNAs cope with the degeneracy of the genetic code in two manners: having more than one tRNA (with a specific anti-codon) for a particular amino acid; and 'wobble' base-pairing, i.e. permitting non-standard base-pairing at the 3rd anti-codon position. Lineage: Eukaryota; Fungi; Ascomycota; Sordariomycetes; Sordariales; Sordariaceae. The record is from RNAcentral.
GACAACAUGGCCGAGUGGUUAAGGCGACAGACUUGAAAUCUGUUGGGUUCGCCCGCGUAGGUUCGAGCCCUACUGUUGUCG